This 213-nucleotide long non-coding RNA is filed under the name Manihot esculenta (cassava). RNAcentral describes it as "long non-coding RNA (MESC_LNC002951)". The record is from RNAcentral. Lineage: Eukaryota; Viridiplantae; Streptophyta; Magnoliopsida; Malpighiales; Euphorbiaceae.
GGACCCGUAGCAAGCCUAACAUACAACCUGUUAUACCUGAUAAAUCUCAUACAUGAUCAUACAUAUACAUAAAAACUUAAACUUUUUCAUUCACCAAGCUCAACCUGUGCAUGCACUAACUGAAUACAUAAAAACUCCCAUACUAGAGCCCUCAUCAAAUGCUCUAAUUGGGUCAACAUAACAUAUGCUAAGCUUGGUUCAACAUAAUUUAAC